AAAUAGUAUUCGUUCUGGGCGACCUGAUAGUUUCACGACAAGUACUAGCGCUUCAUCUCUAGGGAAGAAGAAUCGUACGUCUGAGCCACCUGCAAAUUACUCUAUUCGCAGUCACUCUCCGAUGGGACUUGACACGCGACACCGAAAGGAUGAUGCAAGCUGGCAUAAUGGUUCAUAUGAAACAUCCCGCCACGGGAACGGUCGACCAAAAUCGCGAUCACGAUCGCGUUCCCGACCUACGUCUCGUGAGAAGAUACAUUCCGGUUUGAGAACAGCAGCCACUGCUGCCGGUGCUGCAUCCGUCAUAUCAUCUGUAUCACAUAUAAGCCGCAGCAGAUCCUCUAAGAAAUCCCGCAGCAGUCGAUAUUCUUCAUCGAGCGGAUCCACAAUUGAUAUUUCUCGCAACAAUAGUAAACCCGGUUUGGCUGGACUCACAUCUUUCUUCAGUGCACCAUCAGAAAAAAAACCAAAGUUGUAUGCGAAGGUGGAUGGUAAGAAGGUGAAAAGAAAAAAGAAGGCAAA
This 522-nucleotide small RNA is filed under the name Histoplasma capsulatum. RNAcentral describes it as "hypothetical RNA". RNAcentral also lists the same sequence under 1 other name. The record is from RNAcentral. Lineage: Eukaryota; Fungi; Ascomycota; Eurotiomycetes; Onygenales; Ajellomycetaceae.